GGUUGGUUCAUAUAAAGGCUAUUAUGGCGGUUUUGUAAUCCGUUCAUCAGGGUUCGAGUCCCUGACUAACCA
This 72-nucleotide transfer RNA is filed under the name Serratia phage BF. It matches the Rfam family "tRNA". Rfam says of the family: Transfer RNA (tRNA) molecules are approximately 80 nucleotides in length. Their secondary structure includes four short double-helical elements and three loops (D, anti-codon, and T loops). Further hydrogen bonds mediate the characteristic L-shaped molecular structure. tRNAs have two regions of fundamental functional importance: the anti-codon, which is responsible for specific mRNA codon recognition, and the 3' end, to which the tRNAs corresponding amino acid is attached (by aminoacyl-tRNA synthetases). tRNAs cope with the degeneracy of the genetic code in two manners: having more than one tRNA (with a specific anti-codon) for a particular amino acid; and 'wobble' base-pairing, i.e. permitting non-standard base-pairing at the 3rd anti-codon position. RNAcentral also lists the same sequence under 3 other names. The record is from Rfam by way of RNAcentral. Lineage: Duplodnaviria; Heunggongvirae; Uroviricota; Caudoviricetes.